RNAcentral lists this ribosomal RNA (492 nucleotides) under uncultured bacterium. RNAcentral describes it as "partial 16S ribosomal RNA". It matches the Rfam family "Bacterial small subunit ribosomal RNA", at positions 29 to 507 of the family's 1533-position model. The record is from RNAcentral.
AUUGAACGCUGGCGGCAUGCUUUACACAUGCAAGUCGAACGGUAACAGGCCUUCGGGUGCUGACGAGUGGCGCACGGGUGAGUAAUGCAUCGGAACGUACCCAGAGGUGGGGGAUAACGCAGCGAAAGCUGUGCUAAUACCGCAUGUGAUCUGAGGAUGAAAGCGGGGGACCGAGCAGCAAUGUUUGGCCUCGCGCCUUUGGAGCGGCCGAUGUCGGAUUAGCUAGUUGGUGGGGUAAAGGCCUACCAAGGCGACGAUCCGUAGCUGGUCUGAGAGGACGACCGGCCACACUGGGACGGAGACACGGCCCAGACUCCUACGGGAGGCAGCAGUGGGGAAUGUUGGACAAUGGGCGCAAGCCUGAUCCAGCAAUGCCGCGUGCGGGAAGAAGGCCUUCGGGUUGUAAACCGCUUUUGGCAGGAACGAAACGGUGUCCGCUAAUACCGGGCGCUAAUGACGGUACCUGCAGAAUAAGCACCGGCUAACUACGUG